CGGGAAGAGCUCAAAUUUAUAAUCUGGCACCUUCGGUGUCCGAGUUGUAAUCUCUAGAAAUGUUUUCCGCGUUGGACCGCACACAAGUCUGUUGGAAUACAGCGGCAUAGUGGUGAGACCCCCGUAUAUGGUGCGGACGCCCAGCGCUUUGUGAUACAUUUUCGAAGAGUCGAGUUGUUUGGGAAUGCAGCUCAAAUUGGGUGGUAAAUUCCAUCUAAAGCUAAAUAUUGGCGAGAGACCGAUAGCGAACAAGUACCGUGAGGGAAAGAUGAAAAGCACUUUGGAAAGAGAGUUAACAGUACGUGAAAUUGUUGGAAGGGAAACGCUUGAAGUCAGACUUGCUUGCCGAGCAAUCGGUUUGCAGGCCAGCAUCAGUUUUCCGGGAUGGAUAAUGGUAGAGAGAAGGUAGCAGUUUCGGCUGUGUUAUAGCUCUCUGCUGGAUACAUCUUGGGGGACUGAGGAACGCAGUGUGCCUUUGGCGGGGGUUUCGACCUCUUCACACUUAGGAUGCUGGUGGAAUGGCUUU
Molecule: ribosomal RNA, 526 nt
Filed under: Rhodotorula sp.
Lineage: Eukaryota; Fungi; Basidiomycota; Microbotryomycetes; Sporidiobolales; Sporidiobolaceae
Description: partial large subunit ribosomal RNA
Rfam family: Eukaryotic large subunit ribosomal RNA
Source: RNAcentral